RNAcentral lists this ribosomal RNA (403 nucleotides) under uncultured bacterium. RNAcentral describes it as "partial 16S ribosomal RNA". It matches the Rfam family "Bacterial small subunit ribosomal RNA", at positions 28 to 526 of the family's 1533-position model. The record is from RNAcentral.
GACGAACGCUGGCGGCGUGCCUAAUACAUGCAAGUCGAACGCAGUGGGGACGGGUGCGUAACACGUGGGUAACCGCCCAUCAGAGGGGAUAACACUUGGAAACAGGUGCUAAAUCGCUAUUGAUGGAUGGACCCGCGGGGCAUUAGCUAGUUGGUGGUGUAACGGCUCACCAAGGCCACGAUGCAUAGCCGAGCUGAGAGGGUGAGCGGCCACACUGGGACGGAGACACGGCCCAGACUCGUACGGGAGGCAGCAGUAGGGAAUCGUCGGCAAUGGGCGAAAGCCUGACGGAGCAACGCCGCGUGAGUGAAGAAGGUUUUCGGAUCGUAAAACUCUGGUGUUAGGGAAGCGGGAUCUAACCAGAAAGCCACGGCUAACUACGUGCCAGCAGCCGCGGUAAUAC